Monodelphis domestica (gray short-tailed opossum) is the source of this 103-nucleotide small nuclear RNA. The record is from Ensembl. Lineage: Eukaryota; Metazoa; Chordata; Mammalia; Didelphimorphia; Didelphidae.
CAGCUUCAGCAGCAUAUAUACUAAAAUUGGAAUGACACAGGGAAUGUUAACAUGGCCCCUGCACAAGGAUGACAUACAAAUUCAUGAAACUUUCCAUAUUUUU